GGAAGGUGAAGUGACUCUUUUAAGUCGGUAAUUGUGCAAAAGUUGUAUUGAUACUGUGAGCACAUAAUCUCAGUGAUUAUCGUUUGGAUUUAAUUUUUAUCAUUUGCAUGGUGUGAUGCAUUUGUAAAAAAUUAUUUGAGUAAAAUAGUGAAUGCCUUUGGGUCUGAGAGAUUCAAAACCAGAUAACUUGAAGUAUAUAGAUAGUUCUUUUAGCUAGGUCAUGUAUGAAAAGAAAUAAUUUGCC
RNAcentral lists this long non-coding RNA (244 nucleotides) under Elaeis guineensis (African oil palm). RNAcentral's name for it is "long non-coding RNA (EGUI_LNC056776)". The record is from RNAcentral. Lineage: Eukaryota; Viridiplantae; Streptophyta; Magnoliopsida; Arecales; Arecaceae.